Molecule: long non-coding RNA, 418 nt
Organism: Aethalodelphis obliquidens (Pacific white-sided dolphin)
Lineage: Eukaryota; Metazoa; Chordata; Mammalia; Artiodactyla; Delphinidae
Exons: 2
Source: RefSeq, a predicted model, not a curated record
UGCGGUCGAGAAAAUGCUAACAGGACCAGAGGAAGUGAAUGCCGUGGUGGAAACAGUGGAGGGACCUACGGAGCCUAGAGCCCAGGGCCCAGGAGGGCAUCCUGGAGGAUGAGCCAUGAGAGAUUCAUGAAAACAUGAGUCCUAGAGCUGCAGUGGGGAGAGAAGCUGGGGAAGGUGCAGCAGCAGAGCAAAGGAACGUGGACAGAGGUGCUGAGGCGUAUGGGACCUUCGUCUUUCUGGGCGCCCUGGGUUUGGGGGAGGGAGGGGAGUAGAGGCAACUAGCCCCCAGGGCUGUGUCAUGACCUUCCAGGGCAUGCUUUCCUUGGGGGUGUGUAGGGAGCAGGUCUUUUCCUAUAAAAAUAUUACAAAUUAUGUUUUAUGACUAUGUUGGAAUAAAGAAUAUAAUCUUUGACCCUAA